Molecule: long non-coding RNA, 2229 nt
Organism: Salarias fasciatus (jewelled blenny)
Lineage: Eukaryota; Metazoa; Chordata; Actinopteri; Blenniiformes; Blenniidae
Exons: 3
Source: RefSeq, a predicted model, not a curated record
GGAUGAAAGGUCGCUCGAGGUCAGGAUACGCCAUGACAGGUGGAUUGGUGAGCUUAUUCACAAAGGUCUCCAAAAUGGCUUUGUGUGCAUCUGUCCACUGUACAGGUGAGGAGGGCGAGAGCUGGUAGCUGGCACGCUUCAUCCCCUUCUUGUGGUGGUGCUUUGGCUCACAUUUUGGCUUUGCCAGCAGCUCAUACAGUGGCUUCGCAGUCCUGGAGAAGUCCUGGAUGUAAGCUCUGUAGUAGCUCAGGAAUCCAAGGAGCUUUCUCACCUCCUUCACUGUAGCUGGGGUCUGGUGUGCGAGCGCCUUUACUGCCUCCACCUCCUUUGGGUUCAUCCUGUAUCCUUCUGCAGAGAUGACACGACCAACAUAGGUUACUUGUGGCUUGAAAAAUUCACAUUUACCUGCUCUGAGCUUGAUUCCACAGGCUUUCUGUCGUUGCAGGACUUGUCUGACAUUGUGCACAUGUUGGUCAAAUGUGCGGCUGAACACAAGGACAUCAUCCAGGUAGGGCACACAGACUUCGUCCCUCAGAUCUCCCAGGCAUCCCUCCAUAUGGCGUUGAAAAGCAGCCGGGGCAUUUGACAGUCCAAAUGGGAUUCGGAGCCACUCGUAGAGUCCCCAAGGUGUUAUGAAGGCUGUACAGGGUCUGCUCUUCUCGCUCAUGAAGCCUUGGUGGUAUGCUUUGCCUUGGUCCAAGACCGUGAACCAAGAGUUUCCUCCCAAGUUCUCCAGGAUUUCUUGGAUUCUGGGGAUGGGAUGGCGGUCUGGUAGGGUCUUCUCAUUCAGCAGCCUAUAGUCAAUGCAUAAACGUAGUGUUCCAUCCUUUUUACGCACACAGACUACAGGAGACGAGUAGGAUGAGUACGACUUUUGUAUCCAGCCUCUGUUAAGCAUGUCCUGAAUGUGAGUUUUGACCUCUUGAUACAGGUGACGGGGUAUUGCAUUGUAAGUUCUUUGGACCGGAACAGAGUCUUUCAAAUUAAUGUCCAUCUGCAAGUCUGUAAUGCAACCAGCGUCCCACUCAUCUCUGGCAAACACGUCACACUCCUCCCUCAGCAUCUGCCGGACUUUAUGCUGCUGCUCUGUAGAGAGGUGACUUAAGUCCACGGGCGGGUCCCAGGGCUCCCCUUGUGGUGCUUUAUUAAACUGCUCCAGUGAUGAUGUGGUGCUGUUCUCUGAUGGCUGACAGUCAGCAGACUUGGACUCAAGUGGAUAGACAGCGUCGACACUAUGUAACCAGCCAAGUGUUGUUCGGCCACAUAGCAUAAUGUCACAAGUUGUUGUAUUCUCAACAGUAACUUUAAUCCUUGUGUGGUCUUGGGGGAGGUCGAUCAGCUGCUCUCUCACUUUGAGUCCAGUGGGCCACGGUGUCUCUGGGUUAGGCUCUAGCAGAGCAUUAGGUCCAUUCAGCACACCCUGCUGUACAUAGUUACAGUGCACUUGAAUAGCUUUGUUCUUAGGGACAGUGACUGAUAUUCUUCCCACCCGAGCAAUAUGGGGAUUGUUCUCAGGUGGCUGCUUCUUUAAGACUGUUAGAACAGCUCUGGCAGUUUUCUGUCCCACUUCAAGUGCUGAACAGAACCUCUUCACCAUGUGACCAGCAGGAAAACAGUUCUCAGAGUCCUCAUUAGUCAAAGCCAGCUCUUCAAUUACAUUAAAUCCAAUAAUAGGACGUUCAAGCUCUGUGGUGGCGACGAGGAUGGGGACAACCACAGGCUUGUCACUCAUCCCAGCUACAGCAUUCUGGGACAGUGUGAACUCCACUUCAAUCCAGCCUUGGUACGGGAUCUGUGUUCCAUUGGCGGCAGACAGGUCCAGUCCUCCUUCCUCCAGUAACUCCUCCACAGGCCGCACGGCAACGUCUGGUUGUAGGCAGCAGUCAUUUUCUCCAGUAGGACCUCAUCUGUUACUGUUGGAUUCUGUAGGUGAGGCUUUAAAUCUGUGCGAAUGGUGUCAUCAUGGAGUCCAGUGAGUAUUGUUUGCAGAAACUGAUUUUGAAUUAGCUCUGGGCUGUACUUCAAUCCUGUAUCUGCCCUCUCUGAUGCAAAGAGUAUUUGUUGCCUCAGGUCCAUGGCUCGAACUAGAAACUGGACUGGAGUCUCUCUGGGCUCUUGUGCAGCACGUUACCAUCUGUGGCCGCUGGGGAGCGGUGUAGCGACGUGGGACCGGACUUUGACAACGCUUUUAAUUCAUCAAUUUUAUCAGUCACUUUCAACAAUAAGGAC